GGGGUUGUGGCUCAGAGGUAGAGUGCUUGCCUAGCAUGCAUGAGGCACUAGGUUCGAUCCUCAGUACCA
Molecule: transfer RNA, 69 nt
Filed under: Urocitellus parryii (Arctic ground squirrel)
Lineage: Eukaryota; Metazoa; Chordata; Mammalia; Rodentia; Sciuridae
Also listed under: 1 other name
Description: Spermophilus parryii (Arctic ground squirrel) tRNA
Rfam family: tRNA
About the family: Transfer RNA (tRNA) molecules are approximately 80 nucleotides in length. Their secondary structure includes four short double-helical elements and three loops (D, anti-codon, and T loops).
Source: Rfam by way of RNAcentral